Molecule: long non-coding RNA, 303 nt
Filed under: Pan troglodytes (chimpanzee)
Lineage: Eukaryota; Metazoa; Chordata; Mammalia; Primates; Hominidae
Description: long non-coding RNA NONPTRT009848
Source: RNAcentral
GCAGCUCGAUGUGAUUGUUGCUGAUCUGGAUGGAGGGACGGUCACCAUCCCUGAGUGUGUGCACAUUCCACCCUUGCCAGAGCCACUGCAGAGUCAGACGCACAGUGUGCUGAGCAUGGUCCUGGACCCGGAGCUGGAGUUGGCUGACCUCGCCUUCCCUCCGCCCACGACAUCCACCUCCUCCCUGAAGAUGCAGGACAAGGAGCUGCGCGCGGUCUUCCUGCGGCUAUUCGCUCAGCUGCUGCAGGGCUAUCGCUGGUGCCUGCACGUCGUGCGCAUCCACCCGGAGCCUGUCAUCCGCUU